GACGAACGCUGGCGGCGUGCUUAACACAUGCAAGUCGAACGGAAAGGCCCUGCUUUUGUGGGGUGCUCGAGUGGCGAACGGGUGAGUAACACGUGAGUAACCUGCCCUUGACUUUGGGAUAACUUCAGGAAACUGGGGCUAAUACCGGAUAGGAGCUCCUGCUGCAUGGUGGGGGUUGGAAAUUUUCGGCGGUUGGGGAUGGACUCGCGGCUUAUCAGCUUGUUGGUGGGGUAGUGGCUUACCAAGGCUUUGACGGGUAGCCGGCCUGAGAGGGUGACCGGCCACAUUGGGACUGAGAGACGGCCCAGACUGCUAAGGGAGGCAGCAGUGGGGAAUAUUGAACAAUGGGCGGAAGCCUGAUGCAGCAACGCCGCGUGCGGGAUGACGGCCUGCGGGUUGUAAACCGCUUUCGCCUGUGACGAAGCGGGAGUGACGGUAAUGGGUAAAGAAGCACCGGCUAACUACGUG
This 468-nucleotide ribosomal RNA is filed under the name uncultured bacterium. RNAcentral's name for it is "partial 16S ribosomal RNA". It matches the Rfam family "Bacterial small subunit ribosomal RNA", at positions 28 to 507 of the family's 1533-position model. The record is from RNAcentral.